UCGGAUUGUAGUCUGCAACCCGGCUACAUGAAGCUGGAAUCGCUAGUAAUCGCGGAUCAGAAUGCCGCGGUGAAUACGUUCCCGGGUCUUGUACACACCGCCCGUCACACCAUGGGAGUCGGAAAUGCCCGAAGUCUGUGACCCAACCUCAGGGAGGGAGCAGCCGAAGGCAGGUCGGAUGACUGGGGUGAAGUCGUAACAAGGUAAC
This 208-nucleotide ribosomal RNA is filed under the name uncultured bacterium. RNAcentral's name for it is "partial 16S ribosomal RNA". It matches the Rfam family "Bacterial small subunit ribosomal RNA", at positions 1293 to 1500 of the family's 1533-position model. The record is from RNAcentral.